AUUCUCCCUUUAGAGGAUGGCUCAGGACGAACGCUGGCGGCGUGCCUAAUACAUGCAAGUCGAACGAACGGAGGAAGAGCUUGCUCUUCCAAAGUUAGUGGCGGACGGGUGAGUAACACGUGGGCAACCUGCCUGUAAGUUGGGGAUAACUCCGGGAAACCGGGGCUAAUACCGAAUGAUAGAAUGUGGCGCAUGCCACGCUUUUGAAAGAUGGUUUCGGCUAUCGCUUACAGAUGGGCCCGCGGUGCAUUAGCUAGUUGGUAGGGUAAUGGCCUACCAAGGCAACGAUGCAUAGCCGACCUGAGAGGGUGAUCGGCCACACUGGGACUGAGACACGGCCCAGACUCCUACGGGAGGCAGCAGUAGGGAAUCUUCCGCAAUGGACGAAAGUCUGACGGAGCAACGCCGCGUGUAUGAAGAAGGUUUUCGGAUCGUAAAGUACUGUUGUUAGAGAAGAACAAGGAUAAGAGUAACUGCUUGUCCCUUGACGGUAUCUAACCAGAAAGCCACGGCUAACUACGUGCCAGCAGCCGCGGUAAUACGUAGGUGGCAAGCGUUGUCCGGAUUUAUUGGGCGUAAAGCGCGCGCAGGCGGUCUUUUAAGUCUGAUGUGGAAGCCCCCGGCUUAACCGGGGAGGGUCAUUGGAAACUGGAAGACUGGAGUGCAGAAGAGGAGAGUGGAAUUCCACGUGUAGCGGUGAAAUGCGUAGAUAUGUGGAGGAACACCAGUGGCGAAGGCGACUCUCUGGACUGUAACUGACGCUGAGGCGCGAAAGCGUGGGGGAGCAAACAGGAUUAGAUACCCUGGUAGUCCACGCCGUAAACGAUGAGUGCUAAGUGUUAAGGGGUUUCCCGCGCCUUAGUGCUGCAGCUAACGGCAUUAAGCACUCCCGCCUGGGGCAGUACGACCGCCAGGGUUGAAACUCAAAGGAAUUGACGGGGGCCCGCACAAGCGGUGGAGCAUGUGGUUUAAUUCGAAGCAACGCGAAGAACCUUACCAGGUCUUGACAUCCUUUGACCACUCUGGAGACAGAGCUUUCCCUUCGGGGACAAAGUGACAGGUGGUGCAUGGUUGUCGUCAGCUCGUGUCGUGAGAUGUUGGGUUAAGUCCCGCAACGAGCGCAACCCUUGAUUUUAGUUGCCAGCAUUUAGUUGGGCACUCUAAAGUGACUGCCGGUGCAAGCCGGAGGAAGGUGGGGAUGACGUCAAAUCAUCAUGCCCCUUAUGACCUGGGCUACACACGUGCUACAAUGGAUAGUACAAAGGGUCGCGAAGCCGCGAGGUGGAGCUAAUCCCAUAAAACUAUUCUCAGUUCGGAUUGUAGGCUGCAACUCGCCUACAUGAAGCCGGAAUCGCUAGUAAUCGUGGAUCAGCAUGCCACGGUGAAUACGUUCCCGGGCCUUGUACACACCGCCCGUCACAUAAUAGCAU
RNAcentral lists this ribosomal RNA (1430 nucleotides) under Listeria monocytogenes. Its description in RNAcentral is "bacterial SSU rRNA". It matches the Rfam family "Bacterial small subunit ribosomal RNA". Lineage: Bacteria; Bacillati; Bacillota; Bacilli; Caryophanales; Listeriaceae. The record is from RNAcentral.